Long non-coding RNA from Saccostrea cuccullata (small rock oyster), 331 nucleotides. RefSeq lists it as uncharacterized. The record is from RefSeq and is a predicted model, not a curated record. The transcript has 3 exons. Lineage: Eukaryota; Metazoa; Mollusca; Bivalvia; Ostreida; Ostreidae.
UUUAAUCGAUUGCGAGGCUACAAAAACAUUAAGGAGUCUACGUUAUUAUCCAUAUUAUCUGUUCCCUAGAUGAGGUUCGUUAAGAUUAUAACUCUGUUUGUGCUCAUUCUCGCAUUUAACAUGGGUGAGAACAAUGUCAAAUGCGAUGAGAUCAGCGUCAUGGGUAACCAAUUGCCUCGGGGUUGGUAUUGCUGUAGAAGAUUCAGAUUUCGAUGCUUGAGAUAUUGCAUAAGGGGCUGAAGAUUGGUGCCUUCAUGAUCUUUCAGCGAAAGGAAAAUUCAUGAAAAAAUAUGAAACAUAUUUAAAUAAAACUGACUACUGUAAAAUCACA